AGGGAUCAAAUCUGAGCCACAGGUGCAACCCAUGGCAUACCUGCCACAACACAGGAUCCCUAACCCACUACACCAGGCCAGGGUUCAAAUCCACACCUCAAACCCAAUGCCUGGACAGACAGCACAGGAUCCCUUGUGCACCACAGCAGGAAUUCAUCAAAUAUCUUACUUUAAAAUUCAAACAAACAGGAACAUUUAUCUGUGUACUUUAAAUAGGAAGUAGGUGUGACAUGGGAAUGAUAUUUGUUUACCACAUGUGAAUGCGAUUAUUUGGGGAAUUUAAAAAUACACUUCAUGGAACAAAAGUCAUUCAAUAAUAGAAACAUCAUGAAAUGCCUACUUCAAGAAACCUGAGUUUUAGAAAUAAUGUAUUUUGUUCAAUAAAAACAAUUCUAUUCUGAUCUGCCUAACACUGGAAAUCAACAUUUAAUUUCAGGAUUGUGAACAAUAAACAAAUAAAUAUAAUAGGAAGGUAGAAAUUUCUUCCUUUUCUUCUUUUCUCCUCUCCUCACCUUUCCUUUUUCCACAGAUUACUGAGCAAUAGAAAAUGAAAAAGAAAAUAUGAAUAUUUCAAUGAAUAAGAACUUAUUUAUCAAAUGAGUAUAAUACAUCAAUCACAAUGGUAAACAUUCUUAUUAAAGGCAGAAUCCCUUUUAAUUUUCACAAUAACUCUUUAUGGUGGAUGCUAUUUCUCUACCCGUUUUACAUAGAAACUGAGGACUAGAGAAUGUAGUGGUAUUUUUUAUUGCAACCUGCUUAUUCCUUCUCAAAAGAGUAACAAUUUUGAUGUUAUCUACUCUUCAUCUGUGAGUCUAUUCCACACUCAUUUAUUUGAAUUGGACAGACAUCAGUAAUUCUAUAUGAACCAUUCCUUAAUUCUUAAGUCAUGAAGAGAAAUUGGAAGCUUCUGGAAAAUAUUUACUUGCUAAUACGAGAAAGCACAGGAAGGAAUGUUUUAACUUCUUCCUCUGAAUAUGAUUGUGUCUUGGUAACAACAGGAUUAUCUGUAGCCAUUGGCUGCAGUGAUGAUGAAAUUGACUAUAAGCAUGAUAGAUUACAGAGAUGAGAAAAAAAAAAACAAAACAAACCUGCAUCCUCGAUGGUAUUUCAAAGACACUGAUUAAAUCUGUCCAAAAAGCCAUGCUGUUGUCUAAUGAAGUUUAAGUCCAUUUGAAUUGGGGUUUCUUUUAUUUGCAACCGAAAGUAGCCUAAUUGAAAGAGGUUGUUUAAUAUAAUUCAGAGUUCUCCAAAAAAAACAAAAACAAAAACCCAGACCUAAGAGGAUGGAGAGAGACAGACAGAGGGAGAGAGAGAUGAUAGAUAUGUAGAUUUAGAUGUAUAGAUUAGACUUAUUAUAAGGAGUUGGCUCACAUAAUUAUGGAGGCUGGCCAAGUCCCAAGGUCUGCAGGAUGAGUCAGAAAGCAGAAGACCCAGGAAAGCUGGUGGUUUAAUUACAGUUUGAAGGCCAGCAGGCUGGAGACCCAGGGUGAGCUGAUGUUCCAGUUUAAAUCUGAGGGCAGGAAAAAAGCCAAUGUCCCAGUUCUAAGGCUGUCAAGUAAGAGGAAUUCUCUCUUACUUGAGGAAGAACGAGUAUUUUUGUUCUAUUAAAGACUUCAAUUGACUGGAUGAGGCCUACUCACAUUAUGGAGGACAAUCUGCUUUACCCAGAUUUCAGAUUUAAAGUUUAACUUUAUCCAAAAACACCAUCCCAGGAAGACUCAAAAUAAUGCUUAAGCAAAUAUCUGGCACUGUGGGACCUGGUCAAACUGACACACAAAAUUAAUCAUCACAGAGGUGUUAAAAGUUCACAAUGCUGUCAGUAGAAGAGAUAAGAUUUGAACCCAGGUGCUCUAUCUCAAGGGCUUCUGCUUACAAACACUAGGACAUAUUGACAUAAUUCCUUCAGAGAGAAAGAAAAGCUACUUUUUCCUAGGGUGAAAUGUAAAUAACCCUGAAAGUUAUCUCUAAUAAAAAUUACUAUGAAAGUUAGCUUUCUAGUUGGCUAAAAUAUCCCACCAUUGUCAUAACUACCAAAUAAUUUUCUUAAGAAGUAUUUUGUGAGUAGCUGGUUAAUUUUAUUUAGAAGUUGAGAGGGCAGAGUCAAUGUUACUUCAACAGGCUUCAAAGCCUUAGUGACUAGAAUGAUGACAAUGUUAAGAAAUAAUUCAAGUGUUUUGAUGGGGAAAUUCAAUCUUAGGUUCUAGUGACAGAUGCAUAUAGAGAUAUUCAAUAGACAGUAGAUAACCUAGAGUUCAGUUGAAAGAUUAAAACUAGAUAUAUAAAUCUGUGGUUACAGGAUCUACUCUUUUUCAUGACUUUAAUGUAUAUGAUAUAUAUUAUAUAUAAUAUGUUUUAUAUAUAUAACACCUUGAUUGAGAUAUAAUUCAAAUACUAUUUGAAGUAAACAAUUCAAUGGUUUCCAACAUACUGAGUUGUGCAAUUCUUCUCUACAGUCAAUUUUAGAACAUUUUCAUUACCUGAAAAAAAGAAACCCUGGACCCAGUAGCAGUCACUUUCCAUUUCUUCCCAACCCAUGACAAUAGGCUUCUACUAAUCACCAUUUGUAAAGGUAUCUCCCUGGUACCAGGGAGAGGAAGAUGGCCAAAUUUUUAGAAAUUCUUUUCAAUAGAGGAGGUAAAGACUUAAAUCUGGAUCACAAUCACCCUUGUUUUCUCUGCUUUUCUCAUAAUUGACUCCCUACCCUUAACAUCCUCUUUUGUCUUUAGCUGAAGAUGGUGUUUAAGGUAAGGGUUUCAGUCAUUUUGGCAAGUUACUUAGUUAUCCUGGAUCUCUCCCAUGUAUACAUGUUAUUAAAAUUUGACUUUUCUUCUGUAAAUCUGUCUCAUGACAAGUUAAUUCAUAAACCAGCCAGAAGAACCUAGAAGAUGCUAACUGGAGACUGGCACGUGUCACUUGCCUCUACAAGGAUUAAAUCAUGAGCCCCUGCAGCUGCUGACCUUCAACACCCCCUCAAAGGAACUCAGGGUAGAGAUUAGGAGUGAGACACUUUGUGCUCUGGAAAAACUGGCAGAACAGGCCUUCAGAUAGUUACAUAUUUUUAGGAGAAGAUUUUAUGCAUUGCCUCAUCUAAAAAACCACUAAAAUCCUCCAUGGUGACAUCUGCUCCUCAUGAGUAGCAGUGACCUUCAGGAGACUAGCAGCAACCUUCUGUAAAAAUGUGUGCUUGAUUGCAUGGACCCCCCCAACCCCCUCACCAAAAUCACAUAUAUACUGACAUUCCCUCCUGCCUUUUUGGAGUGUUUUCUCAGAGCUAUCUGAUAGGCCUCUUCCCAGGCUAUAGUCUUCAUUUUGCCCCAAACAAUAUUUAACUCACAAUUCUAUUGAUAUGUAUUUUAUUUUCAGCCAAUAAUGGGUAGAGAAAAACUUCCUGCAUCCCAACACUUUACAAGAAAGUAGUCAAAUUUAAACACAGACCAGGUUCAAAGUAUAGGAAGCCAAUUUACCACAGUACACUUCCAAGAAAGGAUUCUCAUGACCCUUUUAACCACUUUAUCUAAAUGGGAAAACACAGGAAUAGAAAAGACACCAAACACUAUCUCUAUCCUACUUGCUCAUCCUAUGAAGGCUUUGGGACUGAAGCAAACCUAAAGGAGAGAAGAUUUGAUUUUAAAUCAAGUCCAAAAUUUUGAGUAAGAUUUUUAAAGAGAUUUCCUAUUGUGGUACAGCAUAUUAAGGACCUAGUGUUGUCGUCUUUGCAGUAGCUCAGGUUGCUGCUGAGGUACAGGUUCAAUCCCUGGCCUGGUGCAGUGGGUUAUGGAUCUGGUGUUCCUGGACUGUGGUGUAGGUUGCAGCUAUGACUCAGAUUCGAUUCCUGCCCAGAAAUUUCUAUAUGCCAUGGGUAAUAUAUAGGAAUUUUGCAACAAAGGGCAGGUAGUAGGAACAAAAGAUUACUGCUAAGAACAGAAAACUAGAUAGCUCAAGUUAAGGAAUUUAGCACUUUUCUAUGUAUGGGAAGAUGCAAGGUCUGGGCUCACUGAAAUUAUUCCUUUGAUGUGCACCUCAGCCAUUGGGGCCAAUAUCCUACAUUUCCUCAGGGCUCACUGCCAGGAAUGGCUGCAGUCUGAUGGCUGCUAGAUAGCAGGUAUUCUUUGUUUCCUUCCUGAGUUCCCUCAGAGCUCACCAGCUCACUCUUGAAGGUGGCUGCAAUCUCUAACGACAGUGACGUCUUUCGUUUAUUGAUAUGGUAGGCAAUGUUUGAUCUGAAAAUUAAAGUGAGACUAGAAUCUGGGUCAGCAUUUCUUAAGACUGGGAAGAAAAGACAAAGGUUUUCAAGAAUUUUUAUCAUGGGUCAGGGAAGUCACCCUAACCAAAUGAAGGUUAAAGGAAUGCUGAGAGCAAACAUAAAAUUCCCUUCUAUUAUUAUGCUAACAGCACUUAUCCAAUGGUAUUCAAUAAAAUAUUAUAUCAGUGUUACCAUAAUUUUGAGGAGAAUCCAUGGGAAGUUUAUCAAGGUAUAUUUUUAAUUAUAGAAAAGCAAAUUGAGGAGAUCCUAUUGUGGCACAAUAAGAUCAGUGCUGUCUCUGGAGCAAGGUAGUGCAGAUUCAAUCCCAGCAAAACGGGUUAAGGAUCUGGUGUUGCCACAGCUGUAGCAUAGUUCGCAACUGCA
This 4627-nucleotide long non-coding RNA is filed under the name Sus scrofa (pig). RNAcentral's name for it is "lncRNA (ENSSSCG00055011428.1)". Lineage: Eukaryota; Metazoa; Chordata; Mammalia; Artiodactyla; Suidae. The record is from RNAcentral.